RNAcentral lists this long non-coding RNA (1947 nucleotides) under Linum usitatissimum (flax). RNAcentral's name for it is "long non-coding RNA (LUSI_LNC007594)". Lineage: Eukaryota; Viridiplantae; Streptophyta; Magnoliopsida; Malpighiales; Linaceae. The record is from RNAcentral.
UGAGAACAAUUUGAAAUGACGUGUGGUUGGUAAUCUUAUAAAUUGCGCCUAUAGUUAGCAAAGGAGUUUGCUCCAUGAAAGAACUUCUCAAAAUUCGAGUCGAGUUCCGUUUCCUUCUACUUUAGUUGACCGCUUAGCUAAGCACCCUGAAAGUUAAGGUUCCUUGAAGUUUAUGGCCUAUCUCGACUCGGACUUGUAGCUCCAGAAACCCAAAUAAAGGCAGAGGUCAGUGCCGUAGGAGAUUCGGUUUUGAUUCCUGCCACUUGCGGCUUCAUCACCACAAAUUGCCCAGUGAAGAAUAGAAGGAAAGUGGUAGAUCACUAUUAGAAAGCCCUUCUUUUGCUAGCCAGAUGAAAGACAACGAACAAGAUCAGAGGUAGAGAAGAAUGGGAAGUUGAAAAGGAACUAAAAAGGGAAGAGAGAAGAUAAGAAUUCAGUUACAGCUCAAUUAAAACUUAAGACAAUUAAAAAAUGGGCCAAUGAUACUGUUUCUAAACAAUUUUUCUAAACGGCGGAAAAGUAUUUAUAUCCGUAGGGUGGACAGGUUAAAUCCAACAACUAGAAAUGUACUUAACUAACUUUUCAAUCCAAUGGUUAAUAUUUGAUGGAGGGAUUUUAACAUUAUCAUAAAAUGUACAUGAUAUUUAGGUUAAUAAUCUGAACUUGUUUUUUCAAAAAAAUUAUAUAAAGUAUAUCAAAAUUAAUCUCAUUAGAUUUAAAAAAUUAAAAUAAACAAUAUUUAUAGAUUUAAAUUUAUGUUUUGAUGAUUUCGUAAAGAAUUAUCAAGAUUAAACUAACACAAAGGAAUAUUGAAAAAAAGAAAGAAAAAAAAAAAAAAAAAAAAAAAAAAAAAAAAAAAAAAAAAAAAAAAAAAAAAAAAAAAAAAAAAAAAAAAAAAAAAAAAAAAAAAAAAAAAAAAAAAAAAAAAAAAAAAAAAAAAAAAAAGAGAGGAAAAAAAAAAAAAAAAAAAAAAAAAAAAAAAAAAAGUAAACGGUAAGUAAAAAAAAAAAGUAAAAAAGAAUUAUAUUUUUUAAUUUCCUCCCACUAUUUCACAUUUCCUCCCACUUGUUUUAAUUCCGGCCCAAUCAAUUUAGCAUUUUUUACAGUCCAAAACAACUCAUUAUUCAUAUAUGCUAUAGCAAUUGUUAGAUCAUUUCUGUAGUUGAUCUGAUAGUUUACAGUGGCACCGCCUGGUUAGGUCCUAGCUUUUUAUACUUUAACAAUAAUAAUGUGGAUAGUUAAGAAAUUGAUUGACACAUACAAACUUAUGUAUAUUUAACUUAACUAAGGUUGAAUUGAUUGAUGUUUUAUUGAAAUAUGAGUGAGUAAUGUGUAAAUAAACCAACUUAAUAUCCAACGGUAUUUGCAUGGAUCUUUAUUCUAGUUGAAGGCAUAGUUUACUAAUUAUCAUUCUGAUUACAAGUUGUUGAGCAUUGUUGCACCAAGUUUUCCGCAAUAGCUUCCACAAUCAAUGCUCCACCUUCCUUGGCUUCUGGCACAUCUGGGAGCAAAUAUUACAAACUUAUAAUGUUUAGUGCCUAGUUUGAUAUAUGAUUGAGCGUUACUAAAUAAUAUAGAAACCCAAUCUUGGAUGUACGUUGAGAAUUGUCAGUAAGAAGAGUAGCUAGACAUCCAAGAUUGCAUAACUUGUUGUUGAUGUCAUUGUUAAUAGGAGGAUUGAAAACUAUACAAUUAACUCCACACUUACCAAUACAAGUAAGAUCAAUGAAACAAAUCCUUACACACCUCACUAGACAUUGUCCUUACACACCUCACUAGACAUUGUUGAGAACUUACAUUGGAUUGACCCACGAUCAUCCUCAUCACUGCCAACAUCAUUAUUGUCAUCCUUACUCUCCCACCUACCAUUUGUCUCUCUUUGAUAUAUGAUAAAUAAACUCUUUCCGUUUUGUUUCUUUCUUUGUUUUGAAUUGCUGGUGAUGAGUU